CUUCUUGACCACAAGGACCUCAGGAGAUCUUGUUUCUUUUGUGCUUGAGGCUAACCCUGAAGAAUAAAGGUGUAAGCAUCUUUGGAAGCUAUGUUUUUGAAAUAAAGUGAAUCACUCUGGCAGGCUCAUUGUGAAGAAGUGUUAGCAAUACUGAAAAAGAACAAUAUUUUUCAAUUAGCUUUGAAGAAUAAUUGCAUUAAUUUGGAGAUGUGCUUCCUUGUACUUCUGUCAGAACAUUUGGUGCCUAGACUCAUACAUCAUUCUUCAUAAGAACUUUAGACCAGAAAUUCUUAGAUAAUGGUCUACACAGCACUUGCUGAUGUUUCAUGGGAGUCUGGUUGGUCACAAAGUGCUGUUUUCUUCUUUUGACUCUCAGCUAUGAAACUAAAUUAAAAGUUAAUGAUAAUUAAAAAAAAAUAACUGUUAAAACUUUUAAAACAAACAAACAAAAAAAUAACAUUUUUGGAUUUUAUUCAGUUGCUGCAUUUGGAAAAAAGAAAGAUUUGUGAUUAAAAAAGAAGUGGGAGAAUCUCCAGAACGACUAAAUAGGAAGGACAGUCUGCAAUUGAGACUCUGGAUGGUAGUGGAGUUCACUUGGAAAUGUAUUAUUUAGAGAGAUCAAGGCCAGAACAACAGCAUAACAGUGGGUGUAAAUUCUGUAGAGGAAAGUGUACAGCUUUGCUGUUCUAUUUAAUAAAUCAUUUCUGAGUUGAGAGAAGGAAAAAAAUGAAAGGGAUAGACUGUAUGCAGAAAAUGUUGGGUUCAAGUCACAGCUGACCCAGAACAGCACUUAGUUGUCCAAAGUUAGGUUUUCAGAAGAAUUUAACACCUCCCUCCAAAACUCAGUUCACUCAGGCAACCAACACUGUGUCUCUGGAGAUGAUCAGAGUUGCCCUCAUCUUGACACAUCAAAAUAUCUUAGCAUAUAACUCAAUUGGAAAUCUAGAAAGCGGUAGUUCCUAAAUUUGAAUCCCUGUAUAUGCCAUAAGUAAGUAUAUAGAACUUACAGCAUGUAUGUCAAGAGGAUCACACUCUCUAUAGAGAAGAAAUCAUCCUUUGUUUUGAGGCUGUCAGUGCUGUUAUGCUGCUGUUUUUUUCGGUAGUCUUGCAGUUAGAGCACUUGAGCAGAAGGUGAAAGAUCAAACUUCAGACCAUGCCAUUGCCAGGUGGGAUUGAAGUCUCCCUACUGGCAGGAAAGUGCAGUAAUGAUUGUGUAUUGGGGCACCUUCAUCUUGCUAUGGUAACUUCAGGUUAGAGAAGAACAUUCAGUAGUCUCAGGGUACAAAAGUAAGCGUUACUCUAUACCUUUAUGGGAUAUUUGGCAUAGUUGAGAUGACCAUUUAAAAUUAAAUACUUGUAAUAUCCUGCAAGCAGGGAUUGGGUAAAUAUUUCAGCUACAGAGAAGUGGAGCCAACAUUUCUUCUGAGCUAUAUAUUGGCUCAAAAAAUCCUUAAAUACUUCACUGGAAAGUGAUUUAGUGAUAGGAGGGGACAAUAUGCCCUUCCUUACCUCCGUGUCCGCAACCAUCUUGUCUUCCACCUGGAGUUCUGAGCUCCUCCAUGCAAAGGGAGAUUCUGAAUCUUCCUCAACAAGUGAAGGAAUUAAACCUGGUGUUCCUGCUUCUUCUCUGAGAUUGCUAAAUGAAUGAAUGAAUGAAUAAAUAAAUAAAUAAAUAAAUAAAUAAGAAACUCCAGCCACUUUUUACAAGGGCAACCCACCUUUGAAACAAAAACUAUACCUGUCUGCAGAAAUGCAUUUCCCUACUGGCUUGAAUAUACUAAUUUCAGACAUCCAUUUCCUUGUUGCAUCGCUUUCCUGAGCACCAAGCUCUUGUUACCAACUUCACAAUAAGCUUAGACUUGGACAAAAAGCCAGAGCCAGAUACUAUACAAAAAAAUCUGGUAUUAUACUGUAUAACUUUAAGUGCAGAAGUCAUUUGCUGGCACUUGCCCUUAACCUGUUGAGGUCAAUGGAAUCACUCCAGAUUUAUACCAGAAAAUCUAAGCUUGACAGUGGCCAACCAUGUCUAGAUGUUGGAUAUUUGCUUCAGCAUAGAAUAAUAAAGACAGAUUUUUCUUCCCAUUUCCUUCUGAGUCAAGCAGCAGAUGUAUUUCGUUAAGCUCAUUCCUGAAGCAGCUUGCUAGGCUUGGUGAAUAGUACCUUCCCACUGUUCCUCUUUAUCAGUGCUACUGUGGCAGGUAUCCUAGAGGGAAAACUGUUCUUUGACUAAAUCUGUUAAGGAAUGUGAGAUAAUAUGCCCCCAAAAAAGAAACAGAUCACAGUUUUCCUAAUGUUUCAUGAAUCCCAUCAACUAAGUCAAUACUCUCCAUGACCAGAAAAUCAUUCAUCUGCUACCCAUUUCAGUAUGCACUGCAAUUAUUAAAUACUUCAGCUGAAUUAUCUGAAUUCACAUUUUUUGCUAUAGUUUGUUAUUAUAACCUCUGUUCAAAUGUCUGCAAUUGCCACUUACAAAUUUAUACUGUGAAUAGAAAAAAAGAUACAGCCCAGUGAAGCAUAAAGGUAAGUAAAAAAAUUCAUCGAGGUGAUGAAUUGGUGUGUAUGGUUGGUUUUGUCUUAUCUCAGUAACGACAGUACAAACAAACAAUAAUCAUUAAGUCACUCUGAUCUGCCAAAUGGGAACAAAUAUACUAUGUAUAUUACAUGUACUAAUAGGAUUAUAUGGCAGCUGCUGGUGGUAUUUGUAAUUAGAAAUCUAUAUAGAAUAUAGAUGUUUUAGAGAGACGGUGCCAAUUCUAAAAGAUUUGUGUGGGCUACAAGUGCUUGUAAUUAUUAUUAUUUUUUAAUUUGCUAAUAACUUAUGAACAACUGGUUUCAAACAUUCUGUGAGCGUUUGUUCUUUUUUAUGUUGUUGCUGCUUAUACUAUUAAAAACAUAGAGAAUGUAAAGUUAUUAUUUUGAUGUGAACUGAAAAUGAUUUUUCAUAAAAUAUAACAUUUUUAUCAGCUUUGGUUUUGCUUUCUACCUGUACAAAUGUAAUUUAUUUUAGCAUUGAAAAAAUACAUUUGCCUGUUUCUCAAUUGUCUACAUCAUGUUAUAGUUGGUGUUUAUAUGUAGAGUCAGGUACUUUUUGAACAGUAUUAAAAAAAAUCCUGUG
Long non-coding RNA from Gallus gallus (chicken), 3115 nucleotides. The record is from Ensembl. Lineage: Eukaryota; Metazoa; Chordata; Aves; Galliformes; Phasianidae.